GGGGACAACAGUUGGAAACGACUGCUAAUACCGCAUAGUAAGGAACUGCCGCAUGACGGUUUCUUGAAAGAUUUAUCGCUAUGGGAUGGACCCGCGUCUGAUUAGCUAGUUGGUAAGGUAACGGCUUACCAAGGCGACGAUCAGUAGCCGGCUUGAGAGAGUGAACGGCCACAUUGGGACUGAGACACGGCCCAAACUCCUACGGGAGGCAGCAGUGGGGAAUAUUGCACAAUGGGGGAAACCCUGAUGCAGCGACGCCGCGUGAGUGAAGAAGUAUUUCGGUAUGUAAAGCUCUAUCAGCAGGGAAGAUAAUGACGGUACCUGACUAAGAAGCCCCGGCUAACUACGUGCCAGCAGCCGCGGUAAUACGUAGGGGGCAAGCGUUAUCCGGAUUUACUGGGUGUAAAGGGUGCGCAGGUGGCAGGGCAAGUCAGAUGUGAAAGCCCGGGGCUCAACCCCGGUAUUGCAUUUGAAACUGUCCGGCUAGAGUGCAGGAGAGGUAAGCGGAAUUCCUAGUGUAGCGGUGAAUGCGUAGAUAUUAGGAGGAACACCAGUGGCGAAGGCGGCUUACUGGACUGUAACUGACACUGAGGCACGAAAGCGUGGGGAGCAAACAGGAUUAGAUACCCUGGUAGUCCACGCCGUAAACG
RNAcentral lists this ribosomal RNA (650 nucleotides) under uncultured bacterium. RNAcentral's name for it is "bacterial SSU rRNA". It matches the Rfam family "Bacterial small subunit ribosomal RNA", at positions 139 to 808 of the family's 1533-position model. The record is from RNAcentral.